This 141-nucleotide unclassified non-coding RNA is filed under the name soil metagenome. RNAcentral describes it as "partial internal transcribed spacer 1". The record is from RNAcentral.
CCUAGGAGUUGUAGGCUUUGCCUGCUAUCUCUUACCCAUGUCUUUUGAGUACCUUACGUUUCCUCGGCGGGUUCGCCCACCGAUUGGACAAAUUUAAACCCUUUGCAGUUGAAAUCAGCGUCUGAAAAAACUUAAUAGUUA